ACCCGACUCCAUGAAGCUGGAUUCGCUAGUAAUCGCGCAUCAGCCACGGCGCGGUGAAUACGUUCCCGGGCCUUGUACACACCGCCCGUCAAGCCAUGGAAGCCGGGGGUGCCUGAAGUGCGCUGCCGCGAGGAGCGCCCUAGGGUAAAACCGGUGACUGGGGCUAAGUCGUAACAAGGUAGC
RNAcentral lists this ribosomal RNA (183 nucleotides) under uncultured bacterium. Its description in RNAcentral is "partial 16S ribosomal RNA". It matches the Rfam family "Bacterial small subunit ribosomal RNA", at positions 1310 to 1500 of the family's 1533-position model. The record is from RNAcentral.